GACGAACGCUGGCGGCGUGCCUAAUACAUGCAAGUCGAACGCUGAAGGAGGAGCUUGCUCUUCUGGAUGAGUUGCGAACGGGUGAGUAACGCGUAGGUAACCUGCCUGGUAGCGGGGGAUAACUAUUGGAAACGAUAGCUAAUACCGCAUAACAGUAGAUGUUGCAUGACAUUUACUUAAAAGGUGCAAUUGCAUCACUACCAGAUGGACCUGCGUUGUAUUAGCUAGUUGGUGGGGUAACGGCUCACCAAGGCGACGAUACAUAGCCGACCUGAGAGGGGGAUCGGCCACACUGGGACUGAGACACGGCCCAGACUCCUACGGGAGGCAGCAGGAGGGAAUCUUCGGCAAUGGACGGAAGUCUGACCGAGCAACGCCGCGUGAGUGAAGAAGGUUUUCGGAUCGUAAAGCUCUGUUGUAAGAGAAGAACGAGUGUGAGAGUGGAAAGUUCACACUGUGACGGUAUCUUACCAGAAAGGGACGGCUAACUACGUG
RNAcentral lists this ribosomal RNA (495 nucleotides) under uncultured bacterium. RNAcentral describes it as "partial 16S ribosomal RNA". It matches the Rfam family "Bacterial small subunit ribosomal RNA", at positions 28 to 507 of the family's 1533-position model. The record is from RNAcentral.